AGCGUAGACGGUAUGGCAAGUCUGAUGUGGAAGGCCAGGGCUCAACCCUGGGACUGCAUUGGAAACUGUCGAACUAGAGUGUCGGAGAGGCAAGUGGAAUUCCUAGUGUAGCGGUGAAAUGCGUAGAUAUUAGGAGGAACACCAGUGGCGAAGGCGGCUUGCUGGACGAUGACUGACGUUGAGGCUGAAAGCUGGGGGAGCAAACA
RNAcentral lists this ribosomal RNA (206 nucleotides) under uncultured bacterium. RNAcentral describes it as "partial 16S ribosomal RNA". It matches the Rfam family "Bacterial small subunit ribosomal RNA", at positions 568 to 774 of the family's 1533-position model. The record is from RNAcentral.